AACAAUAUUCUGUGCGAUUUUAUGAAAUCCUUCAAAAAGGAAUUACGAUUGUAUUAGUCAUCCAAAAUUAAUAUAAUUAACUGCUGGUGUGAAUGUUUCAAAAAGAUUUGUAUAACACGUAUCAUAUGUUAAUAAAAAUUUGUUAUAGUAAUCGCGACUUUAACUGUACACGAGGUAAAUUCGAAGCAAUACGUACAAAUUUGAAGAUUCCACUGGAAAUAGUAGUGGUACUCGACAAUCUAACAAUGGAAUGACGAUUUAAUUUUGUUAUAGACAAUGAAGACGAUUGUUACAACGCAGAAACGUUCAAGUUUUAUUUCAUCUCUUUUCUCUCUGGACUAAUCUCGUGGACUCUCGAUUCACGUAUACGAAGCCAAUGAAAUUUUCUUUAUUUACACUGAAUACGCAGGUGGAUGUACAUUAAAGUACCCAGAAGGAAGGUUAUGGUACAACGUUAUUCGUCGGCCUUUUUGUUAAUCGAACAAAUAGAUCUUUAUGAAGAGAAAUCAUUUACGGUUGUAAAAUUAUCUACGAAGGCAUAAAUCAAUAAUUAGACUAAUUAGCGAC
This 567-nucleotide unclassified non-coding RNA is filed under the name Bombus terrestris (buff-tailed bumblebee). Its description in RNAcentral is "misc RNA ENSBTSG00005019728.1". The record is from RNAcentral. Lineage: Eukaryota; Metazoa; Arthropoda; Insecta; Hymenoptera; Apidae.